RNAcentral lists this ribosomal RNA (300 nucleotides) under Triticum aestivum (bread wheat). Its description in RNAcentral is "partial small subunit ribosomal RNA". Lineage: Eukaryota; Viridiplantae; Streptophyta; Magnoliopsida; Poales; Poaceae. The record is from RNAcentral.
AUGGCCGCUCUCUCGGUUGUGAUUCAACGCCGGAAGGUGCCCUGGGAUGGAUUCACGGAACAACGACCACUGACUAUUAAGGUGGUGAUGGACCAACACGGCAGCCAAGAUCUCCUCCUCAUCAUCGGGCGAGAAAUCGUUGGAGUCGCAAAAGAAAUUGUGAAAAAAGAACUCGUCGACGGAGUCCAUUUUGUACCUUCGAACAACUUGUGGGCAUCGACGAAGAAGCCGACCAGAAGAGGCGCCCGCCUCCCUUAUACCUGGUGGCUGGCCUGCCGGUGUCCGACGAGUGUGCCUUAA